Molecule: long non-coding RNA, 771 nt
Organism: Ipomoea triloba (trilobed morning glory)
Lineage: Eukaryota; Viridiplantae; Streptophyta; Magnoliopsida; Solanales; Convolvulaceae
Exons: 4
Source: RefSeq, a predicted model, not a curated record
GCCGACACCUCCAUCGCCAAACACCAUUCCGCCUUCGCCAUCGCUCACAAUCGCUAAACACCAUUUCCGCCUUCGCCGUCGACCAGUGGCAGUCUGAGACGGCGGUAACCCCCCUCGAUGCUGAGCAGCAGCGGCACCUCCCUUCCUUCCCCUCUCCCUCGGUUAGCGGCAACCAUGGUCGGACUCCGUCCAAAUGGCAGCAGAGACGUACAGAACAGUGGAGACCAGUUCGACCAUCGGUUCAGUGAUGCCAUCGCCCAGUUCUCUGACUGCCUCGCCUUCGUACAACGCGUAGCAGCAGCGAGCUCCGGCUACUAGCAGCGUCUGGUCGGCCACAUCUGGUUGCGACAAAAAAAAUUCGGCGAGCAGAUCUGCGACGGCGACGUACUGGGCGAGCAAGAAUCCGACGAGCUCCUAAUCCUAUUAUUUUCUCAGAUAAAGGGGGUUCAGGCAUCACUAGCAGAGAAAGAUGAGUACUACUCAGAGAAAGACUUAUAAUGCAGUUCAACAUUGCUUUCUAACAGUUGGUUCGGUGUACCCUGAGGAUUUGUUUUUGUUCCUUCUCAAUGUAGAUGAUUACAGAAAUGAAGAGGAUGAGGAUGAGGAGCUUGACGCUAUUAAUGUAGAUUGCUAUUUGUGAGGACUAUUAUAUUAUUAUUUAGACUUGAAUUGACUAUUAUUAGUUAUUAAAUGUGGAUGGAUGAUGUAAUGAUUUAUUAUUACUUGAAUUUAAUGUGAAUUGAUAAUGAUUUAGAAUUAUGUUAUUUUUUA